GAUUAACGCUGGCGGCGUGCCUAACACAUGCAAGUCGAGCGGCAGCGAGUUUUACACUGACUUCUGGAAGCUUCUAGUUGAAAGAGAAGAUUUAUUCAAGAAUUUUGUGUAAAAUGUCGGCGAGCGGCGGACGGCUGAGUAACGCGUGGGAACGUACCCCAAAGUUAGGGAUAACGCAUCGAAAGGUGUGCUAAUACCGCAUAUGGUCUUCGGAUUAAAGCCUUCGGGCGCUUUGGGAACGGCCUGCGUAAGAUUAGAUAGUUGGUGGGGUAAUGGCCUACCAAGUGGACGAUCUUUAACUGAUGUGAGAGGAUGAUCAGUCAGACUGGAACUGAGACACGGUCCAGACUCCUACGGGAGGCAGCAGUGAGGAAUCUUCCACAAUGGGCGAAAGCCUGAUGGAGCAACGCCGCGUGCAGGAUGAAGGCCUUCGGGUUGUAAACUGCUUUUAUAAGUGAGGAUUAUGACAGUAACUUAUGAAUAAGGAUCGGCUAACUACGUG
RNAcentral lists this ribosomal RNA (502 nucleotides) under uncultured bacterium. RNAcentral describes it as "partial 16S ribosomal RNA". It matches the Rfam family "Bacterial small subunit ribosomal RNA", at positions 28 to 507 of the family's 1533-position model. The record is from RNAcentral.